This 387-nucleotide ribosomal RNA is filed under the name uncultured bacterium. RNAcentral describes it as "bacterial SSU rRNA". It matches the Rfam family "Bacterial small subunit ribosomal RNA", at positions 30 to 418 of the family's 1533-position model. The record is from RNAcentral.
AUUGAACGCUGGCGGCAUGCCUUACACAUGCAAGUCGAACGGCAGCGGGCCUUCGGGUGCCGGCGAGUGGCGAACGGGUGAGUAAUGCAUCGGAACGUGCCAUUGAGUGGGGGAUAACGUAGCGAAAGUUGCGCUAAUACCGCAUAUUCUGUGAGCAGGAAAGCAGGGGGACCGCAAGGCCUUGCGCUCUUUGAGCGGCCGAUGUCAGAUUAGCUAGUUGGUGAGGUAAAGGCUUACCAAGGCGACGAUCUGUAGCGGGUCUGAGAGGAUGAUCCGCCACACUGGAACUGAGACACGGUCCAGACUCCUACGGGAGGCAGCAGUGGGGAAUUUUGGACAAUGGGGGCAACCCUGAUCCAGCCAUGCCGCGUGAGUGAAGAAGGCCUU